GAUGAACGCUGGCGGCGUGCCUAAUACAUGCAAGUCGAGCGAACGGACGAGAAGCUUGCUUCUCUGAUGUUAGCGGCGGACGGGUGAGUAACACGUGGAUAACCUACCUAUAAGACUGGGAUAACUUCGGGAAACCGGAGCUAAUACCGGAUAAUAUUUUGAACCGCAUGGUUCAAAAGUGAAAGACGGUCUUGCUGUCACUUAUAGAUGGGUCCGCGCUGCAUUAGCUAGUUGGUAAGGUAACGGCUUACCAAGGCAACGAUGCAUAGCCGACCUGAGAGGGUGAUCGGCCGCACUGGAACUGAGACACGGUCCAGACUCCUACGGGAGGCAGCAGUAGGGAAUCUUCCGCAAUGGGCGAAAGCCUGACGGAGCAACGCCGCGUGAGUGAUGAAGGUCUUCGGAUCGUAAAACUCUGUUAUUAGGGAAGAACAUAUGUGUAAGUAACUGUGCACAUCUUGACGGUACCUAAUCAGAAAGCCACGGCUAACUACGUG
Molecule: ribosomal RNA, 497 nt
Filed under: uncultured bacterium
Lineage: Bacteria
Description: partial 16S ribosomal RNA
Rfam family: Bacterial small subunit ribosomal RNA
Source: RNAcentral